AUGCUCACUUCAGGAGCACAUAUGCUAAAAUUAGAACAAUACAGAGAUUAGCAUGGCACCAGUUAGAGGAUAACAUGCAAAUUCAUAAAGUAUUCCAUGUUUAA
This is a small nuclear RNA of Sciurus vulgaris (Eurasian red squirrel), 104 nucleotides long. The record is from Ensembl. Lineage: Eukaryota; Metazoa; Chordata; Mammalia; Rodentia; Sciuridae.